ACAUUUGAGAUGCAUUUUUUGUUGUUGUUGAAACGGAGGCAUAAGUUUUGCAUCAUCCAUUAAGUAAGAGAGGAGAAAAGAGUUUGUUACACACAUCUAUUACUAUUACGUAAGGUUGUUAUUGUCCUGGCAUGAUAUUACCCAACUUUUUCACACCCGCAAUAACCAGUGUUCUGCUUCCCUCUUGAUGGAGCCGUUUGAACCUGUAGCCACUUUGGUUAUCCAACUUUUUCUGCACCUGUAGCCACUUGAACCGAUGAGAAUUCUUCAAGCCUACCUAUAGCCACUUGAACAGAUGUCUAUCUCAGAUCUGCUCGUCUAAAAAAUCCAAGUGGAGUAGUAUACUGGUAGUAUAGUAUAAUAAUAUUAUCAAAAGGUAAAUGCCCUGAUUAGUUAGCUCUGUCAGAUAAAUACUCGUCAAAAGUGGGCUCUUAUCAAAAUUCAUUUCCAUUAUAAUCUUACUCAUACAAUAUGCACCAUGUAAUUCUGAAAAUAUAUGCUUAUAUCUAGUUCUGCAUAAAAAUGACAGUAUUGACAUGUUAUAAAUAGUUUGUUUGUAUUUCUGUUUAUUUUGUUACAUUUUGCAGGGAUAAAGUGAAGAAAAAGAAGAAAAGAUUACUAGAAGAUUAGUUUUAGGAUUUUCUUUUAUUUCCUUGCACAUUUCCUUUUAUUGGAUACUUGUAAAGACAUUGUAAUAUUCUUACUAUAAUAAAAAAUAUGAUUCUAUUUCAUUUUUUGUUUUUAAAUUAUUUUCCUUAUAGGUUGUUUUCUGUAAAUUUGGAUUUUUUUUGUUUUCCAAAUACAUUACUAGUGGCGCAUCAUCAACUAGUGCGCCAUUAGUAAGCCAGAGCA
Molecule: ribosomal RNA, 852 nt
Filed under: Triticum aestivum (bread wheat)
Lineage: Eukaryota; Viridiplantae; Streptophyta; Magnoliopsida; Poales; Poaceae
Description: partial small subunit ribosomal RNA
Source: RNAcentral